CGGGCCCUGCGGCCCGGGCAGGGCGCACGCUCCGCGCCCUGCGCCCGCGGUCCUGCCCCCUCGGAGGCGCCCGCGCCCGGGGAGGGCUGGGGGUUCCCGCGGCGCCCGCGGGCGGAGGGUGGGGGAAAGGAAGGAGGAUUUGCAACAAUACCUCGGGGAGGAGGCAGCCGGGGCAGCGGCGGCGGCGGCGGCGGCUGGAGGCGGAGGCAGAGGCGCAGGAGGAGGUGCCGGGCACUCCCCCUCCCAUUGUCCCCAGCCCCGGCCAGGCCCGGCCCCGCGCCCCGCACCGCGCCCCGCGCCCCGCGCCCCGGGCCGUGCAGGCAGCCCUUACCUUGCAGCGCCCGGCUCUCCCCCGCUCGCUAAAGCUACUUAUCCCGGGAAAGCUCGCGCGGGGCCCGGGAGCGAACCCACAGACAAAAAGUGAAACUUCGGCAGGGCUGGAGCGGCUGCUGGUUGGUGCCUUUCCCCCUCCUUCCUCCCCACCGUCCCCACCCCCUCCCCUCGGUCUCCCGUGCGGUGCCCUGAGAGCUGGAGGCUGACGUCAGGGGCCUGAAUUCCUGACUUUGCCUGCACGCAUUUGUCCAUGUAAGGAGACCCUGACCUCCAGCAGGACCUAAUUCCCACUCAUGAAUGUUAAGAGUGCUCUGAGUUACC
This 654-nucleotide long non-coding RNA is filed under the name Equus caballus (horse). RNAcentral describes it as "lncRNA (ENSECAG00000038676.3)". The record is from RNAcentral. Lineage: Eukaryota; Metazoa; Chordata; Mammalia; Perissodactyla; Equidae.